RNAcentral lists this ribosomal RNA (253 nucleotides) under uncultured bacterium. RNAcentral describes it as "partial 16S ribosomal RNA". It matches the Rfam family "Bacterial small subunit ribosomal RNA", at positions 524 to 776 of the family's 1533-position model. The record is from RNAcentral.
UACGGGGGGGGCAAGCGUUGUUCGGAAUUACUGGGCGUAAAGGGCUCGUAGGCGGCCAACUAAGUCAGACGUGAAAUCCCUCGGCUUAACCGGGGAACUGCGUCUGAUACUGGAUGGCUUGAGUUCGGGAGAGGGAUGCGGAAUUCCAGGUGUAGCGGUGGAAUGCGCAGAUAUCAGGAGGAACACCAAUGGCGAAGGCAGCUCGCUGGGACGGUACUGACGCUGAGGUGCGAAAGCGUGGGGAGCGAACAGG